AGUGAACGCUGGCGGUAGGCCUAACACAUGCAAGUCGAACGGCAGCACAGUAAGAGCUUGCUCUUACGGGUGGCGAGUGGCGGACGGGUGAGGAAUACAUCGGAAUCUACUUUUUCGUGGGGGAUAACGUAGGGAAACUUACGCUAAUACCGCAUACGACCUACGGGUGAAAGCAGGGGAUCUUCGGACCUUGCGCGAUUGAAUGAGCCGAUGUCGGAUUAGCUAGUUGGCGGGGUAAAGGCCCACCAAGGCGACGAUCCGUAGCUGGUCUGAGAGGAUGAUCAGCCACACUGGAACUGAGACACGGUCCAGACUCCUACGGGAGGCAGCAGUGGGGAAUAUUGGACAAUGGGCGCAAGCCUGAUCCAGCCAUACCGCGUGGGUGAAGAAGGCCUUCGGGUUGUAAAGCCCUUUUGUUGGAAAAGAAAAGCAGCAGGUUAAUACCCCGCUGUCCUGACGGUACCCAAAGAAUAAGCACCGGCUAACUUCGUG
RNAcentral lists this ribosomal RNA (492 nucleotides) under uncultured bacterium. RNAcentral describes it as "partial 16S ribosomal RNA". It matches the Rfam family "Bacterial small subunit ribosomal RNA", at positions 29 to 507 of the family's 1533-position model. The record is from RNAcentral.